UGGUGGAGCGAUUUGUCUGGUCAAUUCCGAUAACGAACGAGACUCUAGCCUACUAAAUAGUUCGGGGGCCCCGCUUAGAGGAACAGGUGGCGUUUAGCCACACGAGUUUGAGCA
This 114-nucleotide ribosomal RNA is filed under the name uncultured eukaryote. Its description in RNAcentral is "partial 18S ribosomal RNA". It matches the Rfam family "Eukaryotic small subunit ribosomal RNA", at positions 1299 to 1452 of the family's 1831-position model. The record is from RNAcentral.